RNAcentral lists this ribosomal RNA (660 nucleotides) under uncultured Gemmatimonadota bacterium. RNAcentral's name for it is "bacterial SSU rRNA". It matches the Rfam family "Bacterial small subunit ribosomal RNA", at positions 59 to 730 of the family's 1533-position model. Lineage: Bacteria; Pseudomonadati; Gemmatimonadota. The record is from RNAcentral.
AAGUCACGGGGGCCCGCAAGGGCAACCGGCGAACGGGUGCGUAACACGUGAGCAACCUGCCCGCUUGUGGGGGAUAGCCGGCCCAACGGCCGGGUAAUACCGCAUACGUUCUUUUCGGGGCAUCCCGAGGAGAGGAAAGCAGCGAUGCGCAAGCGGAGGGGCUCGCGGCCUAUCAGCUCGUUGGCGGGGUAACGGCCCACCAAGGCGACGACGGGUAGCUGGUCUGAGAGGAUGGCCAGCCACAUUGGGACUGAGAGACGGCCCAGACUCCUACGGGAGGCAGCAGUGGGGAAUCUUGCGCAAUGGCCGAAAGGCUGACGCAGCGACGCCGCGUGUGGGAGGACGCCCUUCGGGGUGUAAACCACUGUUGCCCGGGACGAACCCCUGGAUUCAUCCAGGUUGACGGUACCGGGUGAGGAAGCACCGGCUAACUCCGUGCCAGCAGCCGCGGUAAUACGGAGGGUGCGAGCGUUGUCCGGAAUCACUGGGCGUAAAGGGCGCGUAGGCGGUCGCUUAAGCGUGCGGUGAAAGCUCGGGGCUCAACCCCGAGUCGGCCGUGCGAACUGGGGGACUCGAGCCCACUAGAGGCAGGCGGAAUUCCGGGUGUAGCGGUGGAAUGCGUAGAGAUCCGGAAGAACACCGGUGGCGAAGGCGGCUGCU